RNAcentral lists this ribosomal RNA (401 nucleotides) under uncultured bacterium. Its description in RNAcentral is "bacterial SSU rRNA". It matches the Rfam family "Bacterial small subunit ribosomal RNA", at positions 355 to 773 of the family's 1533-position model. The record is from RNAcentral.
UGGGGAAUAUUGCACAAUGGGCGAAAGCCUGAUGCAGCAACGCCGCGUGAGUGAUGAAGGCCUUCGGGUUGUAAAGCUCUGUCUUCUGGGACGAUAAUGACGGUACCAGAGGAGGAAGCCACGGCUAACUACGUGCCAGCAGCCGCGGUAAUACGUAGGUGGCAAGCGUUGUCCGGAUUUACUGGGCGUAAAGGAUGCGUAGGCGGAUGCUUAAGUCAGAUGUGAAAUUCCCGGGCUUAACUUGGGAACUGCAUUUGAAACUGGGUAUCUAGAGUGCGGGAGAGGAAAGUGGAAUUCCUAGUGUAGCGGUGAAAUGCGUAGAGAUUAGGAAGAACACCAGUGGCGAAGGCGACUUUCUGGACCGUAACUGACGCUGAGGCAUGAAAGCGUGGGGAGCAAAC